Molecule: long non-coding RNA, 11282 nt
Organism: Mirounga angustirostris (Northern elephant seal)
Lineage: Eukaryota; Metazoa; Chordata; Mammalia; Carnivora; Phocidae
Exons: 2
Source: RefSeq, a predicted model, not a curated record
ACCUUCCAGACCCAAGCCCUGGGGAGGAAAGCGAGGCCGGGCGGUCACUGUUCACUCAGACCUGAGAAAAGUCGCCAGGGUAGCCGCACCUCUUACUUUUGGUGGAAGGUUCCCCUAACUCCAGCUUUCAGGACUUGGGAUGGGCGCACACAUCGCGACUCUCCCUUUCGUACUGUGGGGCACUCUGCGAACACACCCCCAGUCACCUCUGCGCGCUCCCCCGGAACCCGCUCAGCCCACAGCGCACCCCAGCGGCCGAGCGGCCUCCUUCCAGCGGCGGCCACUUAGCGGCCGGAGAGCUCGCCAGUUGCCUCCGCCGCCGCCUUGGAAUCUGGGGACCCGACAGACGGCGAGACCCAGCCUCCGCCCGACCCCGGCGAGGCCGCGCGGCUGCUGCGCCUGCCCCACCCGCCGCACCUGGGAGCGGUGAUCACCAGGAGAGGUGGGGCGUGGCGAGCGGCUGGCCGGGCGCCGGAGCAGCUUCGCCAAAAGCCAGCCGGACCGGCGCAAGGCGGAGGGGGAGGGUCUCGGGGCAGAGGCCGGCUCCUCCGAGGGAGAGACCCCAGCUGGGGUGGAAAACGGCACAAACCAGCUGCACAGACGCUGGGCGCGGAUCAUGGAGCGGGCCAGCCCCGGCUCCGGGGAGUCGAAGCUGCAGCGGGACCAGGAUUCCGUGGAAGCGUGGCUGGAUGAUCACUGGGACUUUACCUGCUCUUACUUUGUUAGGAAAGCCACCAGGUAAGAAGAGGACCCCUGGAAGACCCACCCGGGGCGCUGAGAGUGACCUGGGGGCUCAUCUCUCUCCCUUACUGAAUUUUCCUCUUCCUUUACCAUUAAACGACCUCGGUUCCCAGGCCCUUUGCUUUUGAAGUAGGUCUUUGGUCCUGUUAGGGUGUAGACACCUCGACUUUAUGGCUAGUACAGUCGAAAAGCCCAAGCGUGGGAUUCGAUCCAACUUGCUCAAAAAGUUCAAUGCAAAAAUGUACAUGCGGACCCCCCCCCCCCCCCCACACACACACGGCCGGUGAGAGCAAGAUUAUUCCCUGAGAGCAAGAUUAUUUACAUACAUCCGCGCUCACGGGCCUUCCCCCAGCCGUUCUUUAGCCUCCUAGUCCCCCUAAAUCUCCUCAGCGAAACCAAAACAGUUUUGAGCCCCUUCCCUGCGGCUCCGGAAGCACCAUUUCCAACUCGGUCCCAGCAGCUCCGCUCCUCCCCCGUCCCCCCUCGCCCUGGCCCUUGGCGGGCGGGGAAGUCGGGGUAGGGGCGAGACCACGAGGAGCCCAAAGGCAGCAACAUGCCGGAGUCUUCCCAGAGUAAGCGCUGUCGCCUUUUGCCCCUUUCCAGUCCCUUGCUUGGCCCGGCGCUUCCUUUCACUCUCUCUUGCUCCCAAGGCGGCGCCGCUGAAAGGGCUCCGCAGAGGGGUUCGCGGCGCGCACACAAAGGGCGCUGGGGAGGCGCGGCGGGAGCCGACAGCGGGGCGCUGACGGGUCCCGCGCAGCCCCAGCCGACCCCAGAGGCCAGCUCUUCCCGGUCGAGAGCCAAGCGCCGGGCGGCCGCUGCCGAGGGCGGGGAGGAGGGUGCCUGUCCUUUGGGAGGUGGCUGCCCGGGGGGCAGUUGGGGCGCGCGUGGGAAAGGCUCCCGUAGAGUUGGGGAGGAAUUGAGGUUGAAGCCGAGGAAGGAGGGGCCGGAGCAGAGAGUGGAGGCGGGCGGAUGCCCUGAAGCCUGAGGAGUUGGUGAGAAGCCGCUGCGCGGGCAAAGGCUUCUACACGCGGACUCCGACUGACUCCAGGACGCGCCUCUUUGGAGAAGAGUCCCGGACCCGCCGCCGCCGCCGCCGCCGCCUCCAGGCAGCGGCCGUCGGGCAGCCGGCGCUGGCUGCCUUGGCCGCCAGGAAAGCGCACUCAGGGCGGUGAUGGUGGAGCGGCCGGCCGAGGCUCGGCGCUGGGCUCCCCCCCGCCGGCGUUCGGCCUCCGCUCUGCCGGGCGCUCCCCGCCAGGGGGCGGCGCAGCGCGGAGCGAGCGGGCUGCGGCGGGCGGCGGCCCGGUGGCGGGGUCGGUAAGGGAGCAGGCUUGGAGUCACCGCCUCCCCUGGGCACGUCGUCGCCCCCCGGCGCCUCCCGGAGUCCAGAGUCUGCGGAGGCCGCGUGGUCUGCACUUCGACCUUCCUAUGUUUGCUGUGUUGCCCUUUGGAGACAAAACAAGGCCGGUCUAGUAGACCACAACUACACACGCCCAGCCGGGACCCUGCGGAGCUUGACCACCCAGAACUGGGCGACCACGCCUACCCCCUGCGCCUGCGGACAGGCCAGCUCCGAAAAGCGCCCAGAGGACCUGCAGGCCCCGCCCCACGGGGCGGGGCCUAGAGGCUCAUCGCGCCUGCGCCGAGGCCCGAGGGCGUGCUGCGCCGUUACUUUUGAAACGAGUGGCGGGGAACUGCUGUGGGCGUCUCCGCCGUCGCUCUCUGCCGGGGGGAAGCGCACUCCUUCGUCUGUAGGACUGGCCAUGGCGCUGCAGCUCUCCCGGGAGCAAGGCAUCACCCUGCGCGGGAGCGCCGAAACCGUGGCCGAGUUCUUCUGUAAGUCCUCCUCGCGCAGGCCGGAGGGCGGGGUGAACUGAGGCCAGGCCGCCCGGUAGGCCCGUGGCUCAGCCACGGAGGCGGGGGAAGCGGUAGGGGGCGGAGGGGAGGCCGCGAGGCCGAGAGGCCGAGAAUUAAGCUCUCUCUGCCCCAGCCUCCUGCCCGGCGGGAGAAUCUAGGAAGAAGCGGAUGCAGACGCCGCCUCCGGGCUCCUUGCUAAUGGUGGAGCUUGAGGCCUAGGUGCUGCUGAGGCCUGCGGCGCGAUGUAGCCCCUCCACCUGCAGCGUUGCUUUCAACUACAGAGCCAGGCCCUUUCCGCCCGCCCCCAGCCUCCGCGACUUAAGAGGGCGUAGGGCCGGGGUGGGGGCCACGUAUAUUUUUAACAACCCCUCGGCCCCUCUUUGAUUCUGGUAUUGGCGGUGAUGGACUAGAUUUAGGAAACGCCAUUCCGGACCAGGACAGUUGUGCCUUCUGAUAGAAUCUGGCAGGACUUGUGAGGAGAAAAGGAGGAAAAAGAGGGAAAGGUUUGCUGAGAGCAUUGCAGAGAACAGUUAAUCAGUUGCUAACUGAGAUGCAAAAGCCUAUUUUGACACCCUCUAACCACAUAAUCUGAAUUGGGACUUGGAUUACAGUGAGUUGUAGUACUAUUUUGACAGUAGAUUAAUGCAGUUUGGCGUUUUUCUCUUUUUUUGCCACAGAAAUGCAGGUAUCGUGUUCUCUGUUAAUUAGAAGCAAGGUUUUAAGAAUGUUUAAUGCCACUUUUUAGGAAUACUUUUAUUACAGCCCAUCAGGGGCUGUAACUUUAACCUACGAAUUGGUGUGGGAGGGAGACACAAUUCAAUCUGUGGCAAGCAGCAAUAGUUCAGCUCUCCCCACCGCGGCGUGCACUCACGCACACGCGCACGCACGCAUUCCCGCGCACGCACGCACGCACUCACAAGGCGCGGCCCCGGGAAAGGGGACUAGAGUUUAUGUGUCCUACCAUCAGCAGCUGGGAAGCUGUGUAGGCCCCUCUCUUCCUUCUCCAGGCCUUACAGGGGUCCUAGCCUGCUGCAAGGGGUAAGUUAAAGGGGUUUAUGGAAGAUCUUGCGGCACACUGGGCAACACUCCAUCUGGUCAGUCAUCAAAAGAGUUCUAAAGAUCAUUGAGUAAAAAAUAUAUUCACUGGACAUAGAUUGGAAAAACAGCCAGUCUGCUUAGUCCCUGGGCCCAAGACAUGGACAGUAUUUGGAGGCAAGAGUACAACAUAAGGAAAUCAUCAGAAGCACAGGCAAAGAAUUAUGUACCAGGAUGUUCAUAGAAGCAUUAUUUAAAGUUGCAGAACAACCAAAAAAAAAACCUGGACUCAAACCAAAUAGCCCAAAAUAUGGGAUAGUUAAAUAAGAUGGACUAUUAAACAGACAUUAAAUAUUAUGUUUUCAAAAUAUAUUUAAUUAAAUUGAAAAAUACGGAAUACUGUAAAGUUAAAAAACAUGCACAGCCGUAUAUAUAGUAUGUUUUAAAUCAGUGUCAAAAGUGCUACGUUCAAAAUGAGCCGAGACUUGUGAAAAAUACUUAGGACAAUAUAAAAUACUCUUCCAUCAUAUUUUAGGCAAUGAGAAAAGAAAAGGCAGGAAAAGAACCGUACUGCUUGGGGAAGAGAGCAAUUUGCUAACAAACAUUAGAAUUUCUUUUUCUCCAGCCAGGAAAAUGAUCUUCAAAUUCUACAAAUAGAAUAUGCAAAGAAAACGUAAAUUUCAACACCAAAUGGUGAAGAAAGCUAGUAGUCCAUAGUUUAGAUAAAGAUAAAAAUCCUGUGUUUGUGUACCAUCACAUCUAUGACACUGGGCACAUUGGCACAUAAUACCAUCUCAGUUAAACUUGUGACAAACAACUAAGUAUAAGAAUGAAUACAAUGAAUACACACUGAGAAGUAUUCAAAAUGGUGGUUAUCAGUAGCUUAGAAGUGGGAGAUAUGCAAAGAUAAUUGAUUAAAGGGUAUAAACUUCCAGUUACAGGAUUAGCAAGUUCAGGGGCACCUGAGUGGUCAGUGGGUUAAGCAUUUGCCUUUGGCUCAGGUCAUGAUCCCGGGGUCCCGGCAUUGGGCUCCCUGCUCAGUGGGGAGCCUGCCAGGGAGCCUGCUUCUCCCUCUCUCCUCGCUCUUGCUCUCUCUCGCUAUCUCUGUCUCUCUCAAAUAAAAAAAUAAAAUUUUGAAAAAAACUAAGAUUAACAAGUUCUGGGGCUCUAAUGUAUAACAUGGUGAUUACAGCUAAUAAUACUUUGUAUUAUAUAUGUUUAUUUAUAUUUAUAUUAUUAUAGCUAAUAAUACACUUUAAAGUUGGUAAAAGAGUAACUCUUAAAUGUUCUCACUACAAAAAAGAAAUGGUAAUUAUGUGACAGGACAGAGGAGUUAGCCAUAGGAUUAUGACUUAGUCAUAAUCAUUUUGUAAUACACAAGUUUAUUAAAUCAACACCCUGUAUACCUUAAACUUACACAAUGUUAUAUGUCAAUUCCCUCUCAAUAAAGUGGGGUAAAAUUUUUUAAAUAUAUAUUUUUUAAAGUAUCAAGGACUUCAAAAAAAUUCAGUGAUAUAUCGAGUUGCUCAAAAAAUGUCCAGGUAUGUCCUCAGUAUUUGUAGAUAAAUUUCAAAACAUCAACGAAUCUCUUGAACGGUUUCAGAAGAGUGUGUAGAGAUUUUCCAAUAAUUUAUCCUGGAAAUGAAAAUUGAUGUAUUCGAUACAUUCAAUCCUAAAGACCAAGGAGAUGUUAGAGCAGAUUGCCAUACAGGUGAUUGAUCAGAAGGGAUUGUCGUGCUUAAUGUCAAAACAAUUAUAUAUCCUUUUAUCCAUAUGUGACCCAACAGAACUCAGCCUCUGCUGGUAAUUGUCUUUCAUUAUUUGGUUAAAAAAAUUUUUUUUAACAAAAAUAGGGAACCACUGGAGAUUUUUGAACAGGGAAACACCUCUCAUUGAUAAAGAUCAGUCAGUUCUGUACCUAAUACACUGGAAAUUGAAGAGACUGGAGGCCUAAAGAUCAAGCAUAUGACAAACUAGAAUAUUCUAGGUAAAAGCAGUAAUAGGGUAAGAAAUACAAAGUAAAAGUCAAAAGGGUGUUAAUAGUAGAGACAUAAAGAGAAAAGCAGCAGUACAACUGACCUAGCUGGAAGAUGGAAACAGAAAAAAUCAGAGACUAUGCCAAGAUUUCAAAAUUGGAUGGCUAAGUGAAUAGUUGUGCCAUGACUAGAAAGAAGAAAGUCGUGUUUCCUAACUUAGAGUGAGGUGAUGCUUAAUUCGAUUAUUACUCAUUAUACGUUGGAACUCUCAAAUAGCGCAUUGAGAUUAUGGACCCGGCCCUCUGGAGAAAAGUAUAUGCAGUCCUGCGCCUACACCGUGACCGAACCCGGGAGGUGGGGGUGUGGGGGUGGGGGGGCGCCGAGGUUGUGCACAUAGCCUGCUGGGCCAGGUGGAGCACGCCAUCUGCUGUAACUGAUAUUCGCAAAAAUGAGUCCCCGUGUUCUACGAAAAAGAAGUUCAUUGAGUUUUGAGUGUAGUCCACGUCCACUAACUGCUUCCUCUUAUUCCAUUCUUUACUGUGUGCUGAAGACCCAUCAACGAAUAAAGCAGUCUCUUGAGAUUGCCACGAAGCACAAAAUUUUAGAGAUUUUUUUCAGUAUUCUCUAUAUAAGAAUAACAGUGUGUUGUAGAAAUAUUUCUAUCAGAAAUAGUAAAAAAAAAAAAAAUAGGCUUGUCAUUUAAAUGCAUAUUCUUCGGAUAUCUGGGAAGUGUACUGGCAUGGAACAAACUUUUCUUGAGCAAUGCUGGGAAAAUGAGGUGUUGCUGUAUUGGGUUAGUGAUAUUAAAUCAGAGAUUAUAUGUAGACAGUGAAGGGAUUGAGAAGUAAUUUUGGUUUCCUUUUCAGAACGGGGGGAUCAGAGAGAUUUUUUUUUUUAAUAAUAAUCAUCAAGUACGGUAAUGGCAAACACUCUGAAAAUAUUAAGUGUUGCAAGCAAUUUAUUAUGUCUAUUACAUUCUCAGAAAGACAAUCAGUCAAUAUUGCAAUCUUAAAUAUAAACUUGCAGAGUGCUAAAUCCUCUUCCAAACUAAACUUCAAAACCCUCAACGAUGAUUGUCUAUAAUAAACAAGGCAGAGUAGUUUACUUAUGGCCCAAAGUUAGACUUUGAAGUUCACUUUUAAAGAACGUAUUUGAUAGUAAUUCUCCAAAAGAAUGUUAAUUAUGAAAAUGAAAGGAUGGAUUAAGUCCUGUAAAAUUUUAUUUUUCAAAGAAAUGCUUCAAUGCCUCCUUUGAUAUAUGACUCAUUUCACCACUUUAAAAGACAUAGCAACAGUAAAAACUUCUUUAAAAUUAGCAAAUCAAAAAUUCUAAAAUCUCAUGAUCUGUGUUCACCUCAAAAUCAUAAUACCAUAAUGAUUGCAAGGAUGACAUUAUUGUAUGUACCACAAAGAAAGGAAUAAAAACAAAGCUACACAAGUUAUAACACGUGUUUUUUGUAGCUCAGAACUUUCACUACAUACUUACUGAAAGAGCUUUAUAAUACCUACUGAGGUAUAGGUUUUUAUCUUAUGCCCUGCUUGAAUCUAUAUAAAAAUGAAACUGUAAGAGGGGCACCUGGGUGGCUCAGUCAGUUAAGCAUCCGGAGGACUCUUGGUUUGGGCUCAGGUCAUGGUCUGGGGCUCAUGGGAUCCAGCCCCAGAUUGAGCUCCAGGCUCAGGCAGGAGUCUGCUUGUCCCUCUCCCUACCCUUGCCCCUCCCCCUGCUCCCUGUUCACGUGCAUGUGUGCUCGAGCUCUCUCAAAUAAAUAAAUAAAAUCUUAGAAAAACAAUAAAGUAUAAGCAAAACAAAUCGGUUAGGGUAUUCCUAAAGCUUACUCCCAUCCCAAAUCCAGUAUUUCCAAACAUGUUCAACUCAGAGUCAUGGAUGACCAUGUUUCCCACACAAUACUAUCAUCUAUGCUAUCAAGAGUGCUGGUCAUACAGUAUCGUCUCUGCAAUUUUAUUCCAAGUUGCUGAUAUUCAUACUGUAAGUUUUUAUGCACGUGGACUAGCAAUGACAAGGACAUCAGAACCACAAGACACAACCUGUUUCCAGAAAUGUGAAAAUGUAAAAAGAAAUGUAAAUGUUAGAAUCUUUGAAAUAUGAUGUAUCUUAAGAGCUAAGAUAUAGUAAAGAAAUUUGAUUUACAGCUCUAAUUUCUGACCCCCUCCCCUCAUGGAAGUAGAGUUGACACACGGUUCCAUUAGUUUCAGGUGUACGACCCAGUGAUUCAGUGACUCUACACCUGGUGCUGUGCUCACCAUUCAGCUCUAAUUUCUUACAGGCUCUUGGACUUUCUUCGCUGUUCACCAGAAACUGUAAAUCUGACAUUUGCAAAGUGUUAACCUACUCUAAAGGGUGAAUUUGGAACUUUAAAAAGGAAAGCAGUGGCCUUUCUACUGCUUCAGUGAUGUCAGCACCAACAAAGGAAGCAGCCCCGGCAUCCUCACCAGCUAAGGCAAAACCAUCUAUUUGGACUUAUGUCUUCGGACCUGUUAAAUUUAUGUAGAACUGAACUCAUCCUAUCCCCACAUUCCCAGGAUUUUUAAAACAAACAAACAAGCAAAGUCCUUGCUUCUCGGAGGUUAUAAGUAAAUCUAAGGGAAAUGGUGUUUUCUGUUGGGGUUGUUUGUUUGUUUGUUUUGAGAAAGCAUUGUCAUCUUAUUUCAAGUUAUAGACUGACUUCUAGAAAUGAGAUUCAAAUUUUUUGAGGCUAUAAACACCGAGCCAAGCAAUACUCUUGAAGUAAACAUCCUAGAAGUCAGACUAGUAUGAUAUAUAUGAUUAAGGCAUUGCUGUGCUCACUUUUGCAAGUUUAUACUUAAACCAGAGAAAAUCAGCUACAAGAUGAAUCUAAACAAAUAGUAUGCCGGAAUAUAUUAUGUACACUGAAAUUUUAGUUUUUUAGCGUUCAUAGCGGUAAUGACUCAGAUCAGCUUUGAUAUUUUUUUUUCAAACUUACCAAAUAUCCCAGAAAGUAAAAACACAGAAAUAGCAAAAUAUUUUUUAGAAUUUAAAUGUAAAAUGUUUUUAAAUGCUAAAUUCUGAUCUGUUUGCCACUGGGAAAAUCACAUACUUUGCAACUAGAUUCUGAGAAAGGGGGAUUAGGAAAAAAAGUAAAGAGCGAACGAUAUGUUUUACUAGACAUUUACUUCAUGUAUGUUUAUUACUUCUUUAAGAAACAUAAGUUUUAUCAAUCUUUAGUUAAAAGCAUGAAAGAAAAGCAAUCUAAAAUGGGUCAACUGAAAAAAUAUAUAUAGCAACGAAACGCUAAAAAUGAAAUUACAUUAGCAUGUACCUGUAUUUCAAAUAGGAAAGUAGAUUUAGCUUGAGAUGAUAUUCAAAAUCUGUAAGUGCUGGGCACAGACACCAAUCAAUGAGAAUGGCACUGCUCUCAAUGGCCGGAACAACCAUAUAUAUUAUCAACUGGAUACCAAGCCAGCAAGUCAGCCUGUGAUGUGCUCCACCAAUUGCUCAACAUCCCAAUAUAUGGGAGAAAUAAAUGCAAGAUGUCUACUACUUUUUGUUUGUUUUACUUACUAGAAGAUUUUUGCAUUUUCUUGGAUCAGUUAAUGUGGGGGAAAAUGUUUAGAAAACAAUGUGCACAUUUUCCAUUGAUAGGCAAGAGAUGAUAGAGAUAUGGUGGCCAGUUACUCGAAUUACUAGAGAUGACAGGACCAUCCAACAGAGGGAGGGAAUAAAAGGAAUUCAGAAAAAUGACAACAGAGAAGAAAGAUGGCUAAUGAGAAAUUUCUAGUAGCCAACAUGGCGAGAGGACUUUUAGGAACUACUGUCCUGAUUUAAUUUGCUUUUAAAAUUCUUUCUGUGUUUAAUCCUCCUGUAUUAACCAUGAAACCUAUGCUACUUACAUAAAUACCCUUGUUGUAGUAUAGCUUGGGGAAACUAAAAACCCAAGGCUGAGUCCUAUACUUGAAAGAAAGAAAGAAAGAAAGAAAGAGAGAGAGAGAGAGAGAGAGAAGGAAAGAAAGAGAAAGAAAGAAAGAAAGAAAGAAAGAAAGAAAGAAAGAAAAAGGAAAGAAGCAGAGUAGGAAAAGGACAGAACCUAAGGAAAAUUACAAAUAGGAAUUGAGAAAUAUACAAGAGUAGUAAUUUAGAGCAGGCUGGAAAUCAUCCCACCCUAACCAAGAAUUAAUAGAAAUACCGAGUAAGGCAAUAGGCCUCUCACAAUACUUAAAAUGGGAGUUCAUCUAUUACAUUUGGACAUAGAAAAAAACUGUAGGUAAUAUCAAAAAGCUGGAGUACAUGGGACAUCUUUGCUUCACUAUAUAACACUUUACCAUAUAAUAAUGGUUGUCAUUAGUUUCUUACUUCCCAUGUGUCAAAGAACCUAAAAAGCUAUUUUAGAAUAAGUAGAUUUAUGGCUUAUUUUGUAUUUAUAUCUUUGACUCAAUGUUUUCUACUAUGUUUCAUCAUUUCACAAUAUGAAAUAUUUCCAUCAAAAAAAAAAACCAAAAAAACCCCCCAAAAAACCCUCCUCUCUCAUCCUAAAAAUACACCCAAAUCAAUCAGUGUUAUUCUCACUCAAAUGCAUAGAUAGGCUGUCACGUACUUACGGACCGCUUGGAUGGAAAUACAAAAAAGGAACAUUUUUAAUGUCAGUUAAGAAUAAUCACUCGUAUGGACCAUAACUGACACUGAAACCAGUUUCUUCGUCAAUGUUUGUGUAGGAGAUGGCUUGGAAAUGGACCAACUUUUUAAGGCCCACCUGUGUCAAAUUGGUCUAGAGGUAAGGAUCAUGCGAUGCAGAUAACAUGUUUAUUUACUUCUUGGAAUUCUAUUCUACGUCUAAAUACUUGACAUAAAAAAUCCUAGAAUAUUGCAAUUUAGAAUAUUUGAGUGAAGUAAGCAAGUUAGACAAAACAAAAGGUUGAAGAACAUUAUGAAUCCCCACAUCAGAUAAGAUCCUUGAUUUUUGUGAGGUGAUAUACUUGCCAGUAAAAUAGCAUUAGGUAGAACAAAUAAAGAACAGAACAAAUAAAUGGAACAAAGUUGAAGAGUUGAAGAAUCCUAAGUAUAACUCCAAUCACUGCUGUUUCAGAGGACGAGCAAUAAACUUCUCAAGAGAGAAAAUAAAGUAGAUUUUGGUUUCUAUGUGGGUAUUAACAACUUGGCAUCCACGAAAAAGUGAUAUAUACUCAUAGGGAGGCACUUGAUUUUCAACUAAUCCUAAAACAAUUCAAUUUAGCAAAACUCUACUGGUAAAGGCCAUUUUACAAUUGAUUUUUUGUGUGUUGAUUUUGUGUCUUACAAACUUGCAAAAUUCACUUAUUAGUUUGAAUAAGUUUUUGCAGAUUCAAUUGGAUUUUCUACAGAGACAAUCUUGCCAUCUGUCAAUAAAGAUAGUUGUACUUCUUCCUUUCCAAUCUGUAGGCCUUUGGAUUUUGAGGGAGUACAAUAUUGAAUAUAAGUGGUGAAAGCAUACAACCUUCACUUGUUCCUGGUCUUAGAGAGGAAAAUACUCAGUCUUUCAUCAUGGAGUAUAAUUUUAAAUAAGGUUUUUUAUAAUUCUUUAGCAGGCUCAGGAAGUUCUCUUUUAAUCCUAGCUUUCUGAAAGAUUUUAACAAGGAAUGGAUGUUGGAUUUUGUCAAAUGCUUUUUCUGCAUAUAUUUGAGCUUAUCAUUGGGUAUUAAAUUGAUAGAUUUUUCAAAUAUUAAA